GUGUGUUCCAGGUAAAUCCGGUUCACUUUAACACUGAGGCGUGAUGACGAGGCACUACGGUGCUGAAGCAACAAAUGCCCUGCUUCCAGGAAAAGCCUCUAAGCAUCAGGUAACAUCAAAUCGUACCCCAAACCGACACAGGUGGUCAGGUAGAGAAUACCAAGGCGCUUGAGAGAACUCGGGUGAAGGAACUAGGCAAAAUGGUGCCGUAACUUCGGGAGAAGGCACGCUGACACGUAGGUGAAGUGAUUUACUCAUGGAGCUGAAGUCAGUCGAAGAUACCAGCUGGCUGCAACUGUUUAUUAAAAACACAGCACUGUGCAAACACGAAAGUGGACGUAUACGGUGUGACGCCUGCCCGGUGCCGGAAGGUUAAUUGAUGGGGUCAGCGCAAGCGAAGCUCCUGAUCGAAGCCCCGGUAAACGGCGGCCGUAACUAUAACGGUCCUAAGGUAGCGAAAUUCCUUGUCGGGUAAGUUCCGACCUGCACGAAUGGCGUAAUGAUGGCCAGGCUGUCUCCACCCGAGACUCAGUGAAAUUGAACUCGCUGUGAAGAUGCAGUGUACCCGCGGCAAGACGGAAAGACCCCGUGAACCUUUACUAUAGCUUGACACUGAACAUUGAGCCUUGAUGUGUAGGAUAGGUGGGAGGCUUUGAAGUGUGGACGCCAGUCUGCAUGGAGCCGACCUUGAAAUACCACCCUUUAAUGUUUGAUGUUCUAACGUGGACCCGUGAUCCGGGUUGCGGACAGUGUCUGGUGGGUAGUUUGACUGGGGCGGUCUCCUCCUAAAGAGUAACGGAGGAGCACGAAGGUUGGCUAAUCCUGGUCGGACAUCAGGAGGUUAGUGCAAUGGCAUAAGCCAGCUUGACUGCGAGCGUGACGGCGCGAGCAGGUGCGAAAGCAGGUCAUAGUGAUCCGGUGGUUCUGAAUGGAAGGGCCAUCGCUCAACGGAUAAAAGGUACUCCGGGGAUAACAGGCUGAUACCGCCCAAGAGUUCAUAUCGACGGCGGUGUUUGGCACCUCGAUGUCGGCUCAUCACAUCCUGGGGCUGAAGUAGGUCCCAAGGGUAUGGCUGUUCGCCAUUUAAAGUGGUACGCGAGCUGGGUUUAGAACGUCGUGAGACAGUUCGGUCCCUAUCUGCCGUGGGCGCUGGAGAACUGAGGGGGGCUGCUCCUAGUACGAGAGGACCGGAGUGGACGCAUCACUGGUGUUCGGGUUGUCAUGCCAAUGGCACUGCCCGGUAGCUAAAUGCGGAAGAGAUAAGUGCUGAAAGCAUCUAAGCACGAAACUUGCCCCGAGAUGAGUUCUCCCUGAGACUUUAGGUCUCCUGAAGGAACGUUGAAGACGACGACGUUGAUAGGCCGGGUGUGUAAGCGCAGCGAUGCGUUGAGCUA
Molecule: ribosomal RNA, 1394 nt
Filed under: Salmonella enterica subsp. enterica serovar Reading
Lineage: Bacteria; Pseudomonadati; Pseudomonadota; Gammaproteobacteria; Enterobacterales; Enterobacteriaceae
Description: partial 23S ribosomal RNA
Rfam family: Bacterial large subunit ribosomal RNA
Source: RNAcentral